GACGAACGCUGGCGGCGGGCUUAACACAUGCAAGUCGAACGGCAGGGCCCUGCGUGCUUGGUGUGCUCGAGGGGCGAACGGGUGAGUAACACGUGAGUAACCGGCUCUUGAUUUUGGUAUAACUUCAGGAAACUGGGGCUAAUACCGUACAGGAUCUCCCGCUGCAUGGUGGGGGUGGGAAAGUUUCGGCGGGUGGGGAUGGACUCGCGGCUUAUCAGCUUGUUGGUGGGGUAGUGGCUUACCAAGGCUUUGACGGGUCGCCGGCCUGAGAGGGUGACCGGCCACAUUGGGACUGAGAUACGGACCAGACUCCUACGGGAGGCAGCAGUGGGGAAUAUUGCCCAAUGGGCGGAAGCCUGAUGCAGCAACGCCGCGUGCGGAAUGACGGUCUUCGGGUUGUAAACCGCUUUCGCCUGUGACGAAGCGUGAGUGACGGUAAUGAGUAAAGAAGCACCGGCUAACUACGUG
Molecule: ribosomal RNA, 468 nt
Filed under: uncultured bacterium
Lineage: Bacteria
Description: partial 16S ribosomal RNA
Rfam family: Bacterial small subunit ribosomal RNA
Source: RNAcentral